AUCGACGACAUCAGCUUCUUCAUAAGUAUCCACACGAAUUGCUUGAUUCAUAGUCGAAGACGAUGCUGUAACGCGACCCUGUUAUAGGUCUGUAGCUCAGUUGGUUAGAGCGCACCCCUGAUAAGGGUGAGGUCGGCAGUUCAAAUCUGCCCAGACCUACCAAUUGCUUGGUGCAGAAGAAUACGGGGCCAUAGCUCAGCUGGGAGAGCGCCUGCCUUGCACGCAGGAGGUCAGCGGUUCGAUCCCGCUUGGCUCCACCACUCUCUCGUGUUGCGGUGAGUGUUAAAGAGUUCAGAAAUGAGCGCUUCAGGUUUGUCCUGUUGAGUGCUGAUUUCUGGUCUUUUGACCGGUACGAAAAUCGUUCUUUAAAAAUUUGGAUAUGUGAUAGAAGUGACUGAUUAAUUGCUUUCACUGGCAAUUGAUCUGGUCAAGGUAAAAUUUGUAGUUCUCAAGACGCAAAUUUUCGGCGAAUGUCGUCUUCACGAUUGAGACAGUAACCAGAUUGCUUGGGGUUAUAU
This 518-nucleotide transfer RNA is filed under the name Ectopseudomonas oleovorans. RNAcentral describes it as "Pseudomonas oleovorans miscellaneous RNA". The stretch from base 86 to 159 matches the Rfam family "tRNA". The record is from RNAcentral. Lineage: Bacteria; Pseudomonadati; Pseudomonadota; Gammaproteobacteria; Pseudomonadales; Pseudomonadaceae.